UUAGAAUUCCUAAUGUGGGUAACACAAAAAUAAAAAAUCUUAGAUAUUAAAAAUAGCACGGUGUCGUCUCCUGUCAAAGAUUUUCAUUGUAAUAUGAAACUUUGAAUAGUUACGGGUUUCUGUAAAGAGCUCACUAUAGACGGCGCCACGGUUCGCUUAAACCGAAAUUAAAAAGUAUCAUAUCGAAAAUUUCGCUCGAGCGGGUGUAUCGUUCCAUAGCUUAAUUGGCUAGAGCGCCGACACGGUACGUCGGAGACGCGGGUUCGAACCCCGCUGGAGCGGUCAAUUUUUGAUAUGAUAUUCAAAAUUCUCGGAAGGGGGGGGGGAGGGGUU
This 333-nucleotide transfer RNA is filed under the name Melitaea cinxia (Glanville fritillary). RNAcentral's name for it is "misc RNA ENSMCXG00005004810.1". The stretch from base 210 to 282 matches the Rfam family "tRNA". The record is from RNAcentral. Lineage: Eukaryota; Metazoa; Arthropoda; Insecta; Lepidoptera; Nymphalidae.